Molecule: long non-coding RNA, 20409 nt
Filed under: Populus trichocarpa (black cottonwood)
Lineage: Eukaryota; Viridiplantae; Streptophyta; Magnoliopsida; Malpighiales; Salicaceae
Description: long non-coding RNA (PTRI_LNC004425)
Source: RNAcentral
AACACUGAGAGCAAGUGAAGUAUGCUCCUGCCAAGAACGUCUUACAAGACUGGCAAAUUAUAGCCCUUCCACUCUGCAUGAUGUAGUACAAGACGAUUGCUUCAUCAAAAUCCAAGGUUCCAUUGCCAUCCUUGUCCAGCGCUGUAAACAAGCUUGGAAGAACCGUGUUGUUAUCUUUCUUGAGAUACUCCACGUAUUCAUCUAGGUUAAUUUUCCCGUCUUUGUUUUUGUCCAUUUCAUUGAAAGAAAAUCUGGCAUUUCUCUUCUCCUCAUCGGGCAGAUUCUCAUAAUAAGCUCCAGCAGCCCGGCGAAUCUCCUCCAUAUCUAUUUAUGCGUGUAAUAUUUAAGAGGAAGAAGAUUUAAGAGGAUAACGGAAGAGGUAGCUUAGAUCAACAAUUUUAACACUCCAAAGGGACUUUGGUCUGCAUCUGAUCACAAAGCUCUCAUGUUCGAUAGUGAUUUAUAGUACUGGCAAGUGACCACAAAAUGAAGAAAUAUUAAAGAAUUGAAGUGAAUUUGGGUGUGGAUUAUCAUUGUGAAUUUGUAUGGGACCUUUGGUAUCUUCAAUAAUUUAACUUUCUCACACAACACAUGAAACACGACUCCCGUAUCCGAGUACAUGCAAACCCAGCUAGCUACUACCCCCACAAAUUUGUUUUUGGAGACAGAUCUAAUCUUUUAUUCCACCGUACCCAUGCAUUAUUUAUUUCACCUCAACCCUUCUCUAUCAACAACAAAAGAAAACAGUAGCUAUUAAAGAGACCACACAGAGAAGAAAUAUUAAAGAAUUGAAGUCAAGUUGGGUGUGGAAACUUUGGUAUCUUCAAUAAUUCCACGAUCCCACACUUACAUUUAUCUGAUGAUGACUAUUGCCCACUAACUAUUGACAUGAUCCUCAUUUUCUAUGGCAAUCAAGCUAUUGAUAUUGUGAACUAAUGUUUUUUCUUUCGUUUCAACCAGAAACGAUUAAAAAAUCCCAAGCAUUUUCUAUGGAAAUCAAGCAUUUUCAUGACCUAAUAAUUUCUUUUGGUAUACAUAAUUUUUUUUUUUUGAAAAUUUAGUAUAGUUGAGAGUAUUAUAACUGUCUUGUGCAUCACGUCAGUCACGAAUGCCAUAACCUCUAUUAUUGCAAAUACAAUCUAUGACUUGCUAAUUAUAGAUGUCAAUGGCAACUCGUUGUUGUAUAAGGUGUUUUCAACUUCUCUAAAAGAGGUAUCCUGGGAUAGUUUAUUCUGUCAUCAACUCUCUUCUUCAAAAAAAUUGUAAUUCACACAAUUACAAGUAAUUAGUUUUCAACAUCAAAAUACAAUUCACACAAAAAAAGCACUUAACUAAGUUGUAAAUCAAUAUGUUAGUCAUCCAAAUGUAGCUAAGUCAAUAUCAAAAAUUAAUUUAAAAUAAAAUAAAAUCUAAAUUAAGCUCCAUAUCUCGAGGAUUUUGAAUUGACCUGCAAUAUAUUAUAUUUAUGUUUAGCCAUGUUCGGUAUUAUGUUCCAAGCUUUACAACUCAUCCUUGUUUUUUUAAAAUCAUUUUAAAAUGUGUUUUGCUAUUCACUCUUGGUAUUUAGGGUCAAUAGACUCAACAUGGAUUAUUACAUUGUAUAUUAAAAGUAUUAGUGUUUCUUUUGAUUUUAAAUAAAAAAUAAGUCUUAAAAAUAUCUAAGUUCAAUAUUGUCUAAAGUAUUUGUGCCACUAGAUCCCACCACUAAAUAGAUUAACCCACAAUGGUUAAUGCUUGGACAUUUUAGGAUCAGGGUACAAAACCUUUAUUCAACAAAACUUAUGAGUGAAUCCUGGUAUUAAAGGAUAAAUGAACUUGAAUAAGGCAUUAUCCAUAGAUCAUCGUUGUAUAAACAAAUUGUUUAGCGACAUAUCCUCCUAAGAUUUGGACUAGGUUCAAUGAACCUAACAUAAGCCCAUCCAAUUAUGCACUGACAUGGCUUUAUUAACUAAUAAUAGUCAUGGGUCAUUGUUGUUAUCUAUUUUUGGAUCCUUAUACAAAAAAAAAAAGAAGGAAAUAUUAGAAGAAAAAAACUAAAAAAAUAUAUAUUAGUGAGAAAAGGACAUCGAGAUGCCCAAAAAAAGGCAAAGGUUGGUUGAGAAAGUUCGAAAAUACAAAGAUUGAAAUUUGACAGUAUGUUUUUUAUUGAUGAAGGCCCUAUUGACAAACAAAAUUCAAUUUAAGGAUGAAAAGUCCAAAAUCAAAUGUUUAAGGACUCAAUUAGAUUUCAUUGAAGGUUUAAUUAAAUUUAUGAAGGGUAUGAUAGUAAGAAAAAAUAAUUUUAAGUCAAUUUAGGCUUUAAUUGAAAGAAAUUAAAGCUUGGGGGCGAAUUAUAAUUUUUAGGAGUUAUUUUGGUCAAAUCAAGGGUUUAGUUGCAUAUAUAUUGAAGUUUAAUGGGUAAUUAGGGAUUUGAUUGAAGAAAUUCAAAAGCAAGGACCAAACUGGAAAAGGCGCGUGAAUAUAGGGGUUGGAAUUGACCGAAACAAGGGCUAAAUUGAAGAAAUUCAAAAUUUGUUGAUCAAUUAAGGGUCAAAAUGCACAAAUUCAAAACCAAUGACCAAAAUUGAAAAAGGUGGUCACUUUAGGUCUGGCAUUUGAAUUUGACAGGGAUGCAAUUGAAUUGAUUCUUAAAAUCAAAAUCUCAAUUAAGGACUUAAUUGAACAAAUUGAAAAAUGAGGACUAAUUUGAAAAUAGACACUUUUUGGCGUCAUUUUCUUGUAAACGAAAUGACUUGUUUUGUUCAAAACAACACCGUUUCAUUCAUUGUUCAUUUUUUUUAAAAAAAAGAACUCAAAACGAUGCAGUUUUGAUUGGCACUAUACAUCUUCUUCUUCCCCUGGACAUGCUACAGGCAGGGGAAGAAGAAGUUUGUUCCCCUGCAACAUCUCUCUCUCUCCUAGAAACCCAAAAAUCAACAAGACUCACACCCAUGACCAAUUAGCAAAUGAAAAAACAGAGGGGACAAGCCCUACGGGCAGCUGGAUAAUAUACAUGGAUGACAUCAACAUUAGUAGGGCACAUAAUAUACAUCUUACUGGCAACAAAGAAAGGUAGAUAUGGUUGUGGCAUCGUAGACUGAGACAUCCAUUAUUUUCUUACUUAAGGCGAUUAUUUCCAAGUCUGUUUUUAAACUUGCAUGAAUCUGACUUCCAUUUCGAUAGAUGUAUUUUAUCCAAAAGUCACUGUGUGUUCUAUCCAACAAUUUUUAAAAUAUGUGAAACUCCAUUCACAUUGAUUCAAUCGGAAGUUUGGGUUCCGUCACCUAUUUCAAUAUCUUUAAGAGUUAGAUGGUUUGUGACUUUUAUAGACGACUACUGUAAGAGUCUCAAAAUUAUAUCAUCGAGGUCAUAACUAUUAUAUCGAAUCACUCUUCAUAACCGGAAACAUUCAUUUUUUUUUUCAUAAAUCUAAUUUUCUAUAGAAAAUUCGAUAGAGUUUUCUUUGUUUUUGUAAAAUGAAAUAAAAAUCUAAAUUAAGCUUUAGAUCUUGAGGAUUUUGAAUUGACCUACAAGAUAUGAUAUUUAUGUUAAGCCAUGUUCAAUAUCAUGUUCCAAGCCUUUACAACUCAUCCUUGUUGUUUUAAAAUUAUGACAAAAUAUGUUUUGCUAUUCACUCUUGGUAUUUAGGGUAAAUGGACUCAACAUGGAUCAUUACAUUGUAUAUUAAAAGUAUUAGUUGUUUCUUUUGAUUUUAAAUAAAAAAGAUAAGUCUUAAAAAUAUCUAAGUCCAAUAUUGUCUAAAGUAUUUGUGCAACUAGAUCCCACCACUAAGUAGAUUAACCCACAUUAGUUAAUGCUUGGAAAUUUCAGGAUCAGGGUACAAAACCCUUAUUCAGUAAAAAUUACAAGUAAACCCUGAUACUAUAGGAUAAAUGAACUUGAACAGGGCAUUAUCCAUAUACCACCGUUGCAUAAACAAAUUGUUUAGCGACAUCUCCUCCUAGGAUUUGAACUGGGUUUAAUGAACCUAACAUAGACCCAUCCAAUUAUUCACUAACAUGGCAUUAUAAACUAUUAAUAGUCACGGGUCAUGAUCUGGAGUAAAUAGGGAUAGAAAUAUCAAUUCCCCAAACAAAUUAGGAGUAACAAAAACAAAUUUAGAACGGAUAGGAAUAAAACCUACCAUAGGUUUAACUCAUUACAGUAAAUCCAUGUAGAUACACCAUCGGUAGAUUGGGCAUAACAAACUAUUAGGGAUAAAAGACAAGUAGCAAUGGAAUUUACUAUAGGUAUGAUACUUUAGGAUGAUAAUACAUUUCCUUUGGCGUAACAAGUCCCUUAUCUUAGAACUCUGAAGACUAACUAGGGUUUUCUAGUAACCAUAAUUGAUGUGGAUCAACCCACGAACACCAAUAAGUAUCUAUUACAUGUUCUAAAUGGGUCAAUUACAAGGUCCAAAAUAAAGGCAUUAAAAGAAGCAUUAAAUAGACUAGUCUUGCAAGUUUCGGUCAAUGCAGAAAUUAAAGAUUUAUUGGAGCAUCAAGAGAAGGCCUUAGUACAUUUAAUUAAUUUGCAAGAGGGGCCAAAUCCCACCUUAUUUGGGCCAUAAACUUUCGACAACAAGGUUGCCAAUUUUACACUAGUUUGGGCCAACCUUGUUUUUGUGUAUAUUUUUAUGUGCCUUGUGGAUUCCAUACUAAUUGUAGAUUUUAUAUUAUGUGUAAAAACAUUAAUUAUUAGGAUAUCUUAUUUAAUUUCUUUUCAUGUCAAGCGAGGAGAAUACACAACAAAAGAAAAUAAAGAAUCCAAGCUUAAAAGGGUAACAAUGUGGCGGCAAAGUUUCCUAGAUUUGCAAGGAAAAUAUUUCAACAACUUUAAUUGUUUUUUUUAGUGAUAGAAGGACAAUUAAUUGGCAGCAAAGAGGAACAAUAAAGGCAACAACUUUUCCUUCCAAAAAAAGGAUAAAUACAAGGCUACAAUUAAAAUCCUUUUCUAUCUUAGAAACUAUAGGGGUGUCAACUUCUCCCUUGUUUUCUAGGAUAUUGGGCGACAUUGUAGGCUGUACAUGAGCCUUAUAUUUGAUUUGUAUUGUUUUCUCUUUUUUUUUUCUCUUCUCACGACAAUUUAAGGAAUUAACUUAUGAGUUUUAUUUUUAUUAUUUCAGCUAUAGCCCAAGACUUGUUUGGGCUUAAUUAAUACUUGGUUUUUAGCUAAGAUCCAAAACUUGUUUAGAUCAGUGUUUUGGACUUAUCAGUAUAUGUUCUGGGUCAAUUUUAUAAGUGAGUCAGUUUAGUCCACAAUGGUAGAUCUAUUUGGGUUAUUUUCUAAGAGUAUUUAAACUUUUAGUAAGCCUAAAAUUCAGCAGUUAUUGAAUAAUAUCAUUCUGAUUUUUCAGCUUUUGUGAGAGAGUGAUUCUUGCAUUCUUUGGUUCUUGAAAGAACUAAACUGACUUAUCUAAGAUUAACUGGCUUCUUAACAUCAUUUGAUUUAAUUUCAAUGGUGCUAAUACCUUGAGACAUGUUUCUAUCAUGUCACACUCCUAUCAAACCUCUUUUGACUUUUCGAGAUUAGAUUUCAAUCUUGAUUGUGGGUUGCAUGAUCACGAGGUUCCCAUCAAUUAUACUUGGUUUGCAUUAACCUUUGGGUCUGGCAUUGACCAGACCCAUCAGCACUUAGGUCUUGCUAGCGCCAGACCUAACGCGCUUUCAUAGGAGCGUCUUUGGUGCUGUAUUGUUGUUUUUAAGUUAAUGUAUUGUUGAUUUACAGUAUUUGUAGUGUAGUUUUCUUGUAUAUUGUAGUGUUUUAUAAAUUGUUUAUAGAGAAUUAAAGUUUGAUUUUUAUUUUAAGAUUUGUUUGAGAUAUGGGAGAAUCAUUGGGUUAAUAAUUCUCAUAUAACUGAGUCAACUCGUUUCUAUUUUUAUAUUUUCAAAACGAUAUCAUUUUAAUUUGUUUUUUAAUUUAUUAACUUUGACUUAGUCAGGUUUGGCUAAAUUCACUAAAUAAUGGACCAAUAUAUGGAGUCAAUAUAAAAAAGAAUUUAAAAUAAAAUAAAUCCAAAUCAAGCUGAUCUUAAGGAUUUUGAAUUGAUUUGCAAGAUAUUGUACCUAUGUUAGGCCUUUUUUGGUAUUGUGGUCCAACUGUGUUUUUAAAUUUUUUAUGUUUUUGUAUCGUUUUGAUGUGUUGAUAUCAAAAAUAAAAUUAAAAAAAUAUGAUUUUAAUUCAUUUAUAAGUAAAAUACACUUAAAAAAAUAACUUAUAUCACAUUAUCAAACAUGCUAUUAAUAUAAAUAGAUGUUGUUGUGAACAAUAAAAAUUGAUGAAAAAAGAAAAAGGAAGAGUUAAAAAUAAUAACAAUAAAAAACCCAAACAAGCUUAUCUCUCCAUUCCACCGUCCCCAUCAAUUAUUUAUUUCUCCUCCACCCAUCUCUCUCUCUCUCUCUAUAUAUAUAUAUAUAUAUAUAUAAAGCAGUAGCUUGAUGUUGUACAUGAUGGGACCUUUGGUAUCUUCAAUAAUUUAACUAUCUCACACAACACAUGAAACACGACUCCCAUGUCAGAAUCUUGAAGAACUCUGAUGUGCUGAUGCAUACCUGCCCACGUCAUUAUAUUUUAUUGAUUUAUUAAUAUUUUUAUAAAAUAAAUUAUAAAAAUGAAUCCAAGAACAUAUCAUUAUUUAUUUCUCCUCAACCCAUGCAAACGCAGCUACUACUAUGAGAGCCCCCCACAAAUUUGUUUUUGGAGACAGAUCUAGCUUUUCACCGUACCCAUGCAUUAUUUAUUUCUCCUCAACCUUCUCUAUCAACCACAAAAGAAAACAGUAGCUAUUAAAGAGACCACACAACUUUGGUAUCUUCAAUAAUUCCACGAUCCCACACCAAAGGAAACACGGUUCACGUAUCAAAGUCAUGAAAAGCCGAGUUGCAUUUUUCCAAGGAACAUGACAAAACUGAAUCUAGGCAGGAUAGAGUUUUUGGUAAGUUAGCACCCUUAAAAAAUUAUUUUGUAAAAUAACAGUAGUAAAACAAUAUUUAUAAAUCUAAGUAUAAUUGAGAGUAUUAUAAUUGGCAUGUGCCAUCAGUAAGUCACGAAUGCCUUCUGAACCUCCAUUAUUGCAGAUCUUUUGAUUUUAAAUAAAAAACAAGUCUUAAAAAUAUCUAAGUCCAAUAUUGUCUAAAGUAUUUGUGCCACUAGAUCCCACCACUAAGUAUAUUAACCCAUAAUAGUUAAUGCUUGAACAUUUUAGGUUCAGGUUACAAAACCCUUAUUCAAUAAAAUUAUGAGUGAACUCUGGUACUAUAGGAUAAAUAAACUUGAACAGGGCAUGCAUUAUCCAUAGACCACCGUUGCAUAAACAAAUUGUUUAGCGACAUUUCAUCCUAGGAUUUGAACUGGGUUUAAUGAACCUAACAUAGACCCAUCCAAUUAUUUACUAACAUGGCUUUAUAAACUAUUAAUAGUCACAGGUCAUGAUCUAGAGUAAAUAGGGAUAUAAAUAUCAAUUCCCCAAACAAAUUGGGAGUAACAAAAAUAAACAAAACUUUAGAACGGAUAGGAAUAAAACCUACCAUAGGUUUAACUUAUUACAGUUGAUCCAUGUAGAUACACCAUCGGUAGAUUGGGUAUAACAAGCUAUUAGGGAUAAAAGACAUGUAGCAAUGGAAUUUACUAUAGGUAUGAUACUUUGGGUGAUAAUACAUUUCCUUUAGUGUAACAAGUCCCUUAUCUUAAGAACUUUAAAUAGUAAUUAGGGUUUUCUAGUAACCAUAAUUAAUGUGGAUCAGCCAACGAACACUAAUAAGUAUCUAUUACAUGUUCUAAAUGAGCCAAUUACAAGGUCCAAAAUAAAGGUAUUGAAAGAAGCAUUAAAUAGACUAGUCUUGCAAGUUUUGGCGAAUGCAAAAAUUAGAGAUCCAUUGGAGCAUCAAAAGGAGGCCUUAGUAUAUUUAAUUAAUUUAUUAAUAGCUUACUUUAAUGUGGUUGCAAGUGAAGCUAAGAAAAGGAAAAAAAAACAAAUUCGUAAAGUAUAUUAAUUAAAAAAAACUGAGAAGAAAAAAGAAGAAAGAAGAAGAAUACAUACCUGACCAUGGAGGAGAAGAGAAGGAGUUGGGGAGAGAAGAGAAGAGAAAGAAAUGGGUAUUGAUGUUUUUUACAUAUGGGAAAGAAGAAGAAGAAGAACAAAAGAGCCCUGUCUCUUGUGAAAUUAGGAAUUCUAGGCUUUUUAUUGGGGCGUUUUACCGACGGAUAAUUAAAUAUUAAUAUUUUUAAUCAUUCCGUCUGUAAUAUUUAUUGUAAAAUUUCAAUUUAAUCAAAACUUUUCAAAAACCGCCAAAUAUCACCGACGACUUUUCAAUACGUCGGUGAUUAUGUCUGUAAUAUUUAAUUUAAAAUUUUAAUUUAAUCAAGAUUUUUUAGAAAACCAUCAAAUAACACCGAUGAAUUUUCAAUCCAUCGGUGAUUUUGUCUGUAAAGAACAGUAGUUAACAGUGCAAUUGGGAAGUGAACAGUUCAAUAGCUCUUUGAAAAAUACUGAAGGAAUUUUCCAUUGGUGAUUCCCUUUGUUAUUGACAUGAUGAACAACGUUCACAGUUUACCAACAAUUUUAAUUAUUAUUUUUUCGUUGUAAAUUCUGAUGGUAAUUCUGUUGCUAUAAAUGACACGUCAUCAUUUUUUUUUGCUUUGGUUUAAUUAUUUUUUCCCAUUGUAUUUCUCUCGGUAUAUACCGAGGGAAUAUUUCCGUCGAUAAAAUUUAUAAAAAAUUUAUCGAUAAAAAUAUUCCCUCAAUAUUUCUAUUUCUAUUUGUAUUUAUUCCACCGAAACCAUGAAUUAUUUAUUUCUCCUCAUCCCUUCUCUAUCAACAACAAAAGAAAACAGUAUCUAUUAAAGAGGCCACACACCGAAAAAAUGUUAAAGAAUUGAAGUGAAGUUGGGUGUGGAAACUUUGGUAUCUUCAAUAAUUCCACGAUCCUUUAACAAAGACAUCUUGUGAUAGUAUAUUUUAUCAUCAUCUCUCUUCCCCAAAAAAACUGCAAUGCACACAAUCAGAAAUAAUUAAUUUUCUAGCAUCAAAAUGCAAUUCACAUGAAAUAUGUUAAGUCAUCCAAAUAUAACUAAGUCAAUAUCAAAAAAUUAAUUUAAAAUAAAAUAAAAUCUAAAUCAAGCUCUAGAUCUUAAGGAUUUUAAAUUUAUCGUGCAAAAUAUUAUAUUUAUGUUAUUAUGUUCCAAGCCUUUACAACUUAUCCUUGUUGUUUUAAAAUUAGGUCAAAAUGUGUUUUGCUAUUCACUCUUGGUAUUUAGGGUAAAUGAACUCAACAUGGAUCAUUAUAUUGUAAAUAUUAAAAGUAUUAGUUGUUUCUUUUGAUUUUAAAUAAAAAAAUAAAUCUUAAAAAUAUCUAAGUUUAAUAUUGUCUAAAGUAUUUGUUUUUGGAGACCCCCACAAAUUUGUUUUUGGAGACAAGAUCUUCUUUUAUUUAAUGGGUAACAAUCACAUUUUGUUAAUUUUAUUGUUAUGUUGGAAAUUUUGGAGAAAUUGAUUUUUUAUGGAAUUGAUAACAAUUAAAUGAUAUUUAUUUUUUGGUACUUGGAAAAGUAUCAAAUUCCCGCCUCAAAUUCUGACCUAUAUUUAGAUCCAAGAAAUAGAGAUGUAAGUUAAUCUACGGAUCAUUGGUUUAAUAAUUCUUAUAUUAUUGAGUCAACUCGGGUCUAUUUUAUAUUUUCAAAACGAUAUCAUUUUAAUUUUUUUUUUAUUUUCUUAACUUUGACUUGUCAGGUUUGACUAAAUUCACUAAAUAAUGGACCAAUAUGUUGAGUCAUCUAAAUUUAACUAAGUCAAUAUAAAAAACAAUUUAAAAGAAAAUAAAAUUCAAAUCAAGCUGAUCUUGAGGAUUUUGAAUUGAUCUGCAAGAUAUUAUACUUAUGUUAGGCCUUUUUUUGGAUUGUAUCCAACCAUGUUUUUAUAUAUUUUUAUUUUUUUAGAUUCAAAUUAAUUUUUUUAUGUUUUUGUAUCGUUUUGAUGUGUUAAUAUCAAAAAUAAAUUUUUAAAAAUAAAAAAAUAUUAUUUUAAUUCAUUUAUAAGUAAAAAACACUUUAAAAACAACUUGUAUAACACUAUCAAACAAUCUCUUGGUAUAAAUAGAUGUUGUUUUGAACAGCAAAAAUGGAUAAAAAAAAAAGGGAAGAGUUAAAAAUAAUAACAAUAAAAAACCCAAACAUGCUUAUCUCUCCUUUCCACCGUACCCAUGAAUUAUUGAUUUCUCCUCCACGCUUCUCUAUCAAAAAGGAAAAAAAACAGUAGCUUGAUGUUGACUCCACAACCUCCUGUAAUAAAUCCAUUGACCCACGUCCUCGGCCGUUAAGCUCUUUAAAAAGAGACCCCAAUCAUUGCCUCAGUAUUUCUUUGCUCAAGGUAAUAAAUGCCUUACUUUUAACCCAAUCUCACGACCUCCUUGCAGUCCAGAAAUAUCGUUCGCUUUUUGUCUAUUUUUUUUCCCAGACCUGGACGCGUGUGACAUCGCUCGUGGCCUGUCCAUACUUUCACUAGCCUAAAACAAAGCACUAGCUAUUAUUAAUGAGACAGUGUAUUACAAAUUUCUUCUGUUCGAUAGUGAUUUAUAUAACUGAUAAGUGACCACACAAUGAAGAAAUAUUAAAGAACUAAAGUGAAUUUGGGUGUGGAUUAUCAUUGUGUUCCAAACUUCUUUAAAACUUUGCUAUCGUACAUGAUGGGACCUUUGGUAUAUAUCUUCAAUAAUUUAAAUUUUUCACACAACACGACUCCCGUAUCAGAGUCCAUGCAAACCCAGCUAGCUACUAUGAGAGGCCCCCACAAAUUUGUUUUUGGAGACAAAGAUCCUUUCUUUUAUUCCACCGUACCCAUCAAUAAUUUAUUUCUCCUCAACCCUUCUCUAUCGACACAGCGAAGAAAUAUUAAAGAAUUGAAGUGAAGUUGGGUGUGGAAACUUUGGUAUCUUCAAUAAUUCCACGAUCCCUCACCAAAGGAAACACGGUUCACGCAUCAAAGUCAUGAAAAGCCAUGUUGGAGUUGCAUUUUUCCAAGGAACAUGACAAACUGAAUCUAGCCAGGAUAGAGUUUAAUUUUGGUAAGUGAGCACCCUUAAAAAAAUAUUUUGUAAAAUAACACAAUUAAAACAAUAUUUAUAAAUCUAAGUAUAAUUGAGAGUAUUAUAAUUGGUAUGUGCGUUAUGUUAGUCACGAAUACCUUCUGAACCUCCAUUAUUGCAUAUACAAUCUACAACAUGUAAGUCGUAGAUGUCAAUCGCAACUCACGUGUGGUAGAAGGUAUCUAUGGCUUCUUUACCAUAGAUAUCCUGUGACAAUUUAUUUUGUCAUCAUCUUUCUUCCCAAAAAAACUGCAUUGUGCACAAUCACAAAUAAUCAAUUUCCAAGCAUCAAAAUACAAUUCAUAUUAGCAGUACAUAACUAAGUUAUGAAUCAAUAUGUUGAGUCAUCCAAAUGUAACUAAGUCAAUAUCAAAAUAUAAUUUAAAAUAAAAUAAAAUAUAAACCAAGCUCUAGAUCGUAAGGAUUUUGAAUUGACCUGUAAGAUAUUAUAUUUUAUGUUAAGCCAUGUUUAAUAUUAUGUUCCAAGCCUUUACAACUCAUCCUUGUUGUUUUUAAAUUAUGUGAACUUAUGUUUUGUUAUUCACUCUUGGUAUUCAGGGUAAAUGAACUCAACAUGGAUCAUUACAUUUUAUAUUAAAAGUAUUAGUUGUUUCUUUUGAUUUUAAAUAAAAAAACAAGUCUUAAAAAUAUCUAAGUCCAAUAUUGUCUAAAGUAUGUGUGCCACUAGAUCCCACCACUAAUCUGUGUUUUGGUUGGAGGUGUGGUGGCUUUUUUUCAUUGAAAAUCAUGUAUUCUUUGCUUUUAGGAGGUGUUGUGUGUGCUUUAAAAGGAUUGUACCCUUGAAAAAAAACCUCCCACCCAAACAUUCCCUAAGUAGUUUAACCCAUAAUAGUUAAUGCUUGGACAUUUUAGGAUCAGGGUAUAAAACCCUUAUCCAGUAAAAAUUAUGAGUGAAUCCUGAUACUAUAGGAUAAAUGAACUUGAACGGGGCAUUAUCCAUAUACCACCGUUGCAUAAACAAAUUGAAUCUUGAUACAAAACCAUGUGUUCAAAAAAUAAAAACAAUAAUGUGCGGAUUAGCAGCUUUAAAUUUUGAACUUACAUAAAACAAAACAAACAAAAGUGAGAUUAUAUAACAAUUAUUCAUUAUUUGUUAGUAGAAAAGAAGGAAUUGAAACGGCAGAAUAAAAAGAAGUGGUAUAACAUUGUUUUACUUUUUACCAGUUCACUCGUGGGUCAACUCGCAUGAACAGGAUCCAGUCUCUAACCUAUGCCUAAAGGAGACUCAACUCAUCUUUUAAAACCAUGACCAUAGGUCAUUAACCCACACAUGCAUUAGAUUUCAUUGUAUAAAAUUAAUAUUUAGUUGCUUAGGGGCUCCAAUUUUCAAUUAAAUUUCAUUGUAUAAAAUUAAUAUGUUGUUACUGUUAAAGAGAUUGUAUUCUCAAGUGCCGAAAAUCAGGGUUGAAUGUUUGAUAUUAAGAUACAAGCUGCUUGUUAAAAAUAAUUUUAAUACAUGAGAAUGAUUUAAAAAAAAAAAUAACAUGAACAAAUAAAAAUUAUUAAAAAAUAUAAAUUUAAUAUUUUUUUCAAGUAAAAAUAAACACAAUAAAUAUCUCAUUUCAUCGCGCAAUCAUGUCUAUAUCUCUAUUUAGAGUUAAUCACUUGUGAUGGUGCUCAAUCAUUUUACUAGAAAAGUGUCAUUAACUACACGAUUUUACACAAAAACAGCAUAAGAUUAAAGUAACAAGUUCUCUAGAAGUAAUCAGUUUGAGUCUCACAAAUCUUAAGAUCAUUGGAGGCUUACAUGGUCGUUAACUUCAGGACCCGUAUGAUUAGUUGAGGUACGCGCAAGCUGGCCCAGACACCUACGUUAAUAAUAAUAAUAAAAAAAGUAACAAGUUCUCAAUGCCCUCCAAAAACACACAUUCUCUACUGGAGAUCGAAUGCAUGAGAAUACAAUUGCCACAAAAAAGAUACAGCUCUAUAUAAAGUAACUUGAGUUUAUUCUCUACUGGAUCUGAGCUCACUUGAAGAGUUUCCAGUAAAUUUUCAGUCAUUUCAUCUUACCUCAUCGGCAAUUAUAUAUUGUACUAUUGGAUGCAUUUGACUGGUGAUAAAAUGCAUAAUUGGUUUCUUUCACAUAAUGCUACAGUUAGAUCUUGAUGAACCAUCACCAUCAUCACCAUUACCAUCACCAAUACCAGUAAGAUCACUAUUUAUGCCUGCAUCUAGCAGUCCCUUUUCAAGAAUUUUAAGCACCUUGGUUCGCUAUACAUACACCCUUUUCUUUUUCAAGCUGCAGCCGCCACUCAAAGCUCAUCUACAACUAUGCCCCGUCAAGAACUGGGGCCUCACAAUCACUAGCCAAUAUGUGCAAUAUGCUUUUCUCUCAUGCCUUUCUUCGUCUCAUGCCUUUUUAGAUAUUCUGGUGUCCUAGGCGUAGAGGAACCACACCAAUCCAUCCCACAAAUUUGCUUUUGGAGACAAGAUCAUCUUAUCUUUUAGAUAUUCUGGUGUCCUAGGCGUAGAGGAACCACACCACAUAAAACCGAGUUGCAUUUUUCCAAGGAACAUGACAAACUCAAUCUGGAAGCUUUAAUGCUUGUAUUUAAUAAAAUAAAACAAGGUUUAUAUAUGCCAACAAAUAUUUAAAAACCUUUAAUGAUAAUUAAAAAUUGAGUCUGGAAGCUAAAAGGAAUUUACAUAUUAAAAUAUUAGAUCUCGUGACAAUGAGAGCUUUUUUAUUUUUUAAUUAUACAAUAAUAUAAGGGGUUUUUUUAGAAGUUAAUAAUUUAAACUCAAUUGAAAAAAUGGUUUUAAUUGUAAAAUUCCUCGUUUUCUUAUUAAUAUAUUUUUCUUCAAACAUGCAGACCUGAAUGUAUUUUCUUAGAAUCUAAUUAUAAUGUAUAUUAUUGAGUUUAAAUUAUUUUUUAUCUUGAUUUUAAAUUUUGAUAAAAUUGAAAGCCUUUUUAUCUUGAUUUUAAAUUUGAUAAAACUAAAAGCAAUUAGAAUAAAUAUAAAAAAAUCUAGAUAAUUUAAAAUAAAAAUACAUCUCUCAAAUUAAAAAAAAAUGCCAAUGUUUGGGUGAUUAUUUUUUCUUUUUCUUUUUCUCUUGCUUUGUGACUUCUUCUACUUAUAUUAUUUUGAAAUGUCUCGCGAUGCAUGGGGUGAUUAAAAUUUGAUUGUCUCAUUGUAUGCAAAUGAAUAAGUUUUUCACCAUAUUAUUGUGUUUGUGUUAAUUGAUAAUAAUAAUGCAUCUAAGACGGGUAAUAAAUUUUGAUCUUCUAAAAUUCUAAUCUUUUUAAUUAAACUUAAAUUGGGUUUUCAAACUUAAUUUUUCACAAAUUAAGCUCAUAAUAAAAUUCAUUUGACUCAUUUAAAGUAUAAUUAAUUCCUUACACCUAAUUAAAUCCUUUAUUUGAACCAAAAUUAAUUCUUAAAUAUAAUUAAAAUUUAAUUUGGCCAAUGAUUAAAUCAAAUUUACCUAUUAAAAAUUUAAUUAUGUUCUUGAACUUAAUUUUUACUCAGAUUCGUUCAAUAAUUAUUUAAUUUGACUUUGAAUUUUUAUUGUUUCUUUAUUUUUUGACAUAAUGGGGUACAAUUAGACCUUGAAUUUCCUUCAAAAUUACAGCUUGGUUUUUAUAUAUUUUGUUGUUGAAUUUUCUUCAAAAAUCACCACCUUUUAUUUUAUUUUUUUGACAUUUAUUAUUAUUUUAAAAAAUAAAUUUAAAAAAUAACCAGAAAUGAGAUGUAACAACUAUCUCGAUGAUAACAACCCAGCUGAAAAGAGAAGAAACACCGAGAGACAAAAAAAAAUUACUGAGUGCCGGAGAAGAAAACGAGCUGGUGUCUUGUUUUGGCCAAAUUAAUCCGCUCCUUUGCAGGUUAUAAAUGGUGAGUACUGAAGGCACGCCGGCGUAAUCCUAAGAUUGGUUAAAUAGCCAGCGAGCGCGCCACGUGGCCCAGUGGUAUUUUUUAACCUUUUUUUGGUGUUUUUCCACCUAAUUUCGAACCUGGAUAAAUAUUUUAUUGUUUUUUAUAUGUUUCAAUUUUGUGCAUAUUAUUUUAUACAUUUUUGUGAAAGUCCAAUUUUUUAUUAUUAUUGUUGAUAGUGACAUUCUCAUUAAAAAAAAAUAAAAAAUGGUAAAAAUAAUUAUAAUAAUGACAAUUUUCAGGUUUGUUUUGCAAUUCAUGAGAGUGAAUGAGCCAAAACCCAAUUUAAUUUUUACCAUUCAUAUGGGUUCAAUGUCCAUCUUUACAAAUAGCUUAGUUGAGUGGUCUCCUUUUAAAGGGAUCUAUGAAAAUUCCUUUUAGGAAUUAACAUCAACAUCUUGACGAGUCUGAAGACCAAUGUCAAACUUUUCACAAACUUAGAAAUAAUAAAAUAAUAAAAACAAUUAUGAUAAUUAAUGACAAUUAAAAAGAAAAAUUUAAGAGAAAACACAUAGUAAAGAUAAUCUUUCGUAAAAAAUAAUGCUUUAAGGAUGACAUUGUUCUUAUCUUAAGCAUAACUAACCUCUUACAUGAAUCUCUGAAACCAGUGCUUAUUUUUUUCGGAUUCCUAGUUUCCUCUAAUUACUAGGCGGGGACUCUAAUUUUCCCUAAUAUAUUUUGGCUCCCGCCAACAUCCACUAAGGUGCAACAAGUUUCAUGCAGAUUAUUUCGCUCGGCUAGGAGAAAAAUUCCACUCUAUAUUCAUGCAUGUUUUGAGAAUCUUAAGAACACCUCUGAUACUUAAGGAAUAGGUCUUCUAAUCAAGGUUGUCAAUUCCGUUUCGGUAGGUGUUUUGUUUUUUCAAUUGGAAUGGAAUGUUUCAGUUUCGGAGUGUUUUGACGUGCCGUUUCGGGGUUGUACUGUUCAUAUAUAUAUAUAUAUAUAAAUUUAACAAACAUAAUUUAAAUUCAAGAUAAAUUAAUUAUAAAUUAUGCAAUACAAACACAAUACCAAACAAAUAUAAUUUCAAAAUUUAAAAUAUUUCUAAAUAGUCAAGAUUAAAUAGAUCUUUAACUUAAAGUAAUUCAACUUAAACAAAAUAUCAAAAUAUUAUGAAAGUAAAAUGUUUUAACACAAAUAUUUUAAAUAUAAAGUUAGGUCAAUGUUAUCAAGGCUAAUGGAAUCUAAAGCAUCCCUUGUUUUACUCAAAUUCCUACAAAGUAUAAACAUGAAAAAAACAACAUGAAUAUAAACCAUAUAUAUUAGUGAUAAAUCUAAUUUUAAAAAAUUAAUAUCAUUGUUAAUGAAAAUAGUAAUAAUAAUUUUCAAUAUUAUUAUCAAUAUCAUUGUUAUUGAAAAUAGUAAUGAAAAAAAGCUUUUUAUAAUUGGGUGGUUUAAUUAAUUAAAUUGAACAAGGUUCAAUUUGAUUCAAUGGCUUUUCAAGAGCGGAACGGAACAUGUGGAAUGAAACUAGAACGUUCCGAGCGGAAUUUAGCCGAAAAAUCCGGAACGGACCGAGAUUUAAAAUGAGAUGAAAUUUGUUCCGUUUUGUUCCGUUUUUUGAAUUGGUAUGGAAUGUUUCGGCCAUUCCGGGCAAAACAGAACGGAAUUGACAACCUUGCUUCUAAUCAUAAUCAAGGGGAAAAAAUCUACCUCUCAACAACUGCUUCAUCCCCUCCCUAGUCUUAAUAGGUCUUCUACUUUCUCGCCUCCUAGUUUCCAAUAGCCUAUCUCACCAGACUAAGGCCCCAUUGUUUAAUUUAAACCAUAUAGUUUUUAUCAUCCUCGAAUAUAAAACUUUGUAUGCUUAUAAAAUGGAUCACAUUCAGCUAACCAAUCAGCGAAAUCCUCUACUCUUAAAUCACCAUCAAAAGAAGAAAUCUCAACAUUUAUACGGUAAUCUUGAGCAUACCUAUUAUUUCCAGAAACCUCACCCCGAUCUUUUUUAUCAGAAGAAUACCAUUGUCAUACUGACCAUGAGGAUUUACAUUAACUAGUUUAGGGAAAGGUUUUUCACGGGCGUCAUUCCUGCCAAAUGCCUAUUUUAUUUCAUGGUUCAUGUUUGCGUGCAACCCUAAUGCUUUAAACUUGGUUGUAAGGUCAUCAACUCUGAUAUUGAUGUCACCCAACCUAGUUUGCAUUUGCCCCUCUAAAGCUGCUAUCAUUAAUGAAUAAUGAUUUAGUUGAUCUCAAACAACCUGCAUCUCCUGAUCAUCGUCACAGAGAUUGUUGUGGCCAACUACUCCACAAUUCUCUUCACGAUUUGCCAUUGAUCCGGAUGUUGACCCGCUCUAAUACCACCUGACACAACAUAUAUCGAAGAUAAAACUAGAGAAAAAUUUCCACCUGACACACCCUGUAUCCCCUAAUCAUCGUCACGGAGAUGGUUCUCUAGCUUUAAGGUUACAAACCAAACUGUAGAGAAAUCUAGAGAAAUUUUUCCGGUAUUUUUAUUGAAUCUAAAUAAUACUAUUAAUCUCUAUAAAAUAAAUUAGACAUCUCUAUUUAUAUUUAUUUAUAAACUGGUACUUCUACUAAUGUUGUAUCUACCGAUAUGGUAAGCAAGCUCAACCUUAAGAUGGAAGCAUACCCUCAUGAUCCCUACAAAUUGAGGUGGUAGGAAAAGAAGCAUGAACAUAAAGUAACAAAUAGAUGUCUUGUUUUAUUUUUCUUUGGAAAACAAAUAGUGGUGUGAUAUGUUAUUUGUUGUUUGGUCAUUCAUGUAAUUUGAUAGGAAAGUUCAGCAUGAUGGCGUUAAGAAUAAUUAUUGUUUUAUGAUGCAGUAGUGAUUGUUUUAGUUUUUAAGCUUUUAAUGUAUUUGUUUGUAUUUCAACAAGUAAAAAAUGUGUCUUAGUUAUUAUUUUCUAGAUUCAAGUCAAAGUUAUUUAUUUUGAUCUUAAUUAUGUUAUUUUUGUUUUUCUCUAGACUUGGAGGGUUGUUUCAAGGGUAUAAUAAUCAUUUGUACUGUGUACUAAAUAUCUUUGGUGAAAAUUUGAGUAGAAAUCUUUAACUUGGUCUUUUGACACCCUAUUCAGUUUUAUAUCUCCUUGCGAAUUAUAAAAUUUAAACUCAUAACUUUAUAUAUUGAAAGUGGUGAGAAAAUAUAUAUCUUUAAAGUCAUUAGUUAUUUGCAUCUAUAUCUCUAUGAUUUUUUACCUUAAAAAAGCCAGCAUAGACUAUAAUGCAUUUAUGUGAGUGAAUUGUUUCUACGCUAUAAUCCUAUUAUCUUUGGUAUCAUAAGCUGCUUCCACCUCCAACUUCUCCCUAUUGACAACAUUACUAACAUCAUAUUUUCCGACAGUAAUUCCAUUGUUAUUCGCCAAUUUUCCGAUAGUGAACUAAAGCUUCUUCUUUUAUAUAUUUCUUUUACAAGACAAUAGUUGAUCAACCUUUAGAUAUUAAGAUUUUUAAUAUCAAGAAUCUUAAUAUUAAGGUUCUGUUGAUUGUGCUGUUAUACUUCUUGUUUCGUGUUGUUUUGAUCAACCUUUAGAUAUUAAGAUUUUUAAUGUGCAGCUUAUGUUAAUGUUAUUCGAUGAAAACCCUUAGAAUAAAACCAUUCUAGUAUAUCAAGAAUCUGCAAAUAGAUGAGGUUUACGUACCAACGUAGCAAUACACAAACUUUAAGGAUUUGUUUCCGCACCCACUAAUAGUCGAGCAUUUAUUUUUGCAUUUCAAAAACGUUUUUGAAAAAAAUAAGGGUGCUAUGCCUAAAGGAACUCAUCAUUGUUUUACUUUUGAUCGGUUCACUCCCGGGUCAACUCGCUUAAUUCAUGAAUCAUGGACCGGAUCCAGCCUCUCGCGUAUGCCUAGAGGAACUCAUCUUUUAAAACCAUGGUCAUUAACCCACACAAGCAUUAAAUUUCAUUGUAUAAAAUUAAUAUAUAGUUGCUUAGGUGCUCCUUCAAUUUUCAAUUAAAUUUCGUUGUAUAAAAUUAAUAUUUUGUUACUGUUAAAAAGAUUGUAUUCUCUUGUGCCCGGAAUGAGUGUUUGAUAUUGUGAUAUAAAGUGAUUUUCAAAAAUAAUUUUAAUAUAUUAGAAUGACCUUUUAGAAUCUUUUUUAACAUCAAAAAAAUAAAAACUAUUAAAAAACAUAAAAUAAAUAUAAAUUUAAUGUUUUUUGAAAUAAAACAUAAUUUUAAAAUAUACCACAAUAAUGUCUCGCUUCAUCCAGUAGCCAUGUGUAUAUGAGUUAGUCUUGCUUGCAAUGAAAUCAGUUGUGAUGGUGCUCAAUGAUUUUACUAGAAAAGCUUCAUUAACCACAUGAUAUUUUACACAAAAGCAGCUUAAGAUUAAACAAGUUCUCAAUGCCCUCCAAAAGUACACAUGAGACUAUGGAGAUCGAAUGCAUGAGAAUACAAUUAUUGCCACAAACAAUAUAAAGUAACUUGAGUUUAUUCUCUACCGGAUCUGAGCCCACUUGAAGAGUUUCCUCUUACCUCAUCGGCAAUAUUUAUUGUACGAUUGGAUGCAUUUGGCUGGUGAUAAAAUGCAUCAUUGGUUUCUUUCACAUAAUGCUACAGUUAGAUUUUGAUGAACCUUCACCAUCACCAAUACCAUCACCAAUAUCAGUACUUAUGCCUUCAAGAUCACUACUAGUUAUGCCUGCAACUUGCAGUCCCUUUUUAAGGAUGUUAAGCACCUUGGUUCGCUUCUGAAAUAAAAGAUAAUACGCAGAUAUAUUAGAGGCUGAGUUCAUAUUUUUAUAAGCAAACAUAUUUUUAUACUUAAUAUAGUAUUUAUUUAUCAAUUAGAUGGAGAGAAUAUUUGUAUUAAUGAAAAUAUGAGGAUUCCACUAGUUAUUUUGAAGCCAGUCUUGAAAAUAUAAUUAAUCUCUUCAUCCAGAGAAUUAAAGAACUUCAAUCAAUACGAAGAAUGGGAAUUCAAAUGUAAAGCAGAGAAGAAAUAUAAUAAUAAAACAAAACCCAAUGUUGAAGGAAACUCCAUACGUAAUGCUCCAUAAACAAUGAGUUAUCAGUGAAUUUUGGCAAAUGUAUAGUAAUAAAUAGUAAAAAUAUCUUAUUGUUUUAGUUUCUAAAAUUAAUUACCUGAAUGGGGGCCGCUUGUGUCGCGCUCCUGCUUCGACAAAGUAAAGUAUAGUUAUCGCAGAAGAUGGCACCAUCGUGGUGUGUGAACUUUUUACCACCAUAACAUUCACAACAAAUUUCAUAGCUGCUAACUGAAUCAUUGAAGAAACAUUCAGAGCAACUGAAGUAUGCUCCUGCCAAGAACGUCUUACAAGACUGGCAAAUUAUAGCCCUUCCACUCUGCAUGAUGUAGUACAAGACGAUUGCUUCAUUAAAAUCCAAGCUUCCAUUGCCGUCCUUGUCCAGCGCUGUAAACAAGCUUGGAAGAGUAAGAACCGUGUUGUUAUCUUUCUUGAGAUACUCCACGUAUUCAUCUCGGUUAAUUUUCCCGUCUCCGUUCUUAUCCAUGGCAGCGAAAGUCUUUUUGGCCA